Erinaceus europaeus (western European hedgehog) is the source of this 104-nucleotide small nuclear RNA. Lineage: Eukaryota; Metazoa; Chordata; Mammalia; Eulipotyphla; Erinaceidae. The record is from Ensembl.
AUGCUCUCUUUGGCAGCAAAUAUACUAAAAUUGGGAUGAUACUGAGAUUAGCAUGGCCCUUGCACAAGAAUAACACCCAAGUUCAUAAAGUGUUCCAUAACAAA